Molecule: long non-coding RNA, 274 nt
Filed under: Homo sapiens (human)
Lineage: Eukaryota; Metazoa; Chordata; Mammalia; Primates; Hominidae
Description: HSALNT0408214
Source: RNAcentral
UUUUGAUAAACUUUUCUCCUGCUCUAAAGUUUGCCUUGGUCUUUUCUUCUACCUUAUGCCCCUCAGUUGAAUUCUUUCUUCUGAGGCGGCAGGAAUUGACUUUGCUGAUAUAUUUCGGUGCGCUGUGACUCGGAUAACUUUCACCGCUAACAUACAUUGGCACUGCUUGACUGGGAUCCAUGCCCUAAUGACGGAGACUCGCUUUGUCACCCAGGCUGCAGUGCAGUGGCGCGAUCUCGGCUCACUGCAAGCUCCACCUCCAGGGUUCAUGCCA